RNAcentral lists this long non-coding RNA (814 nucleotides) under Callithrix jacchus (white-tufted-ear marmoset). Its description in RNAcentral is "lncRNA (ENSCJAG00000083018.1)". The stretch from base 310 to 621 matches the Rfam family "7SK RNA". The record is from RNAcentral. Lineage: Eukaryota; Metazoa; Chordata; Mammalia; Primates; Cebidae.
AAUAAUACCACUUAAAACAAUCUCCCCCCACCGCCCCCCCUUUCUUUCUUUCUCUCUCUCCCUCCCUCUCUCCCUCCCUCCUCUCUCUCUUUCUCUCCCCCCCCUUUUCUCUCUCCUCUCUCCUAUACUAACUUGUUUCAAAUUGGAAGUAAUGAUAUGUAUUGCCCAAGGAAAAAUAAAGGAUGUCCCAUCAAGGGAGGGAGGGGGUGGGAGAAUCCAAAUAGUAUUUUUGUGGGGAAAUAUCUAAUAUACCUUCAGUCAACUUUACCGAGAAGUCCUGGAUUUCCAAGAUCCGCGUCUGAAAGUGCAGCACAAUGGGAGUUGGGAGUGAUGCGGUUGAUUCUGCUGAUCUGGCUGGCUAGGUGGGUGUCCCCUUCUGCCCUUGCUUCUCCAUGUGUCCCUCCUGAGGCUAUGCGCUCAGUCGAAGAGGACGACCAUACACCGAUAGAGGAGGACCCGUCUUUGGUCAAGGGCAUACGAGUAGCUGCGCACCCCCGGUAGAGCCGCCCAACAAGCUCUCAAGAAACAAAAAACCUAUUUCUUAUAUGUCAGAGUGUUUUAACUUUUCAGGGAAAAAAUACUCUAUAAACAGAUAAAGGCUAUGUUGUUAUUAUUUUUAUUCUAGGAAGGAGACUCACGUUCUAUUAGGUUAGAACUAUUUUAAAGAAAAACAUGGCUGGGUGCAGUGGCUCACACUUGUAAUCCCAGCACUUGGGAGGCUGAGGCGGGUGGGUCAUUUGAGCUUAGGAGUUUGUAAACAGCCUGGCCAACAUGGUGAAACCCCAUCUUUACUAGAAAUACAGAAUUAGUUGGG